GCCCGGAUAGCUCAGCCGGUAGAGCAGGGGAUUGAAAAUCCCCGUGUCCUUGGUUCGAUUCCGAGUCCGGGCA
Molecule: transfer RNA, 73 nt
Filed under: Hafnia alvei
Lineage: Bacteria; Pseudomonadati; Pseudomonadota; Gammaproteobacteria; Enterobacterales; Hafniaceae
Description: tRNA_Phe_GAA
Rfam family: tRNA
About the family: Transfer RNA (tRNA) molecules are approximately 80 nucleotides in length.
Source: RNAcentral